This 807-nucleotide ribosomal RNA is filed under the name uncultured bacterium. Its description in RNAcentral is "bacterial SSU rRNA". It matches the Rfam family "Bacterial small subunit ribosomal RNA", at positions 8 to 812 of the family's 1533-position model. The record is from RNAcentral.
AGAGUUUGAUCCUGGCUCAGGACGAACGCUGGCGGCGUGCCUAACACAUGCAAGUCGAACGGAACUUUUUUGAAAGAUUCUUUCGGGAUGAUUUUGAUUAAGUUUAGUGGCGGACGGGUGAGUAACGCGUGAGUAACCUGCCUUUGAGAGGGGAAUAACAAUCUGAAAAGAUUGCUAAUACCGCAUAACAUAUAUGAAUCGCGUGGUUUGUAUAUCAAAGAUUUUAUCGCUCAAAGAUGGACUCGCGUCCGAUUAGUUAGUUGGUGAGGUAACGGCUCACCAAGACCACGAUCGGUAGCCGGACUGGGAGGUUGAACGGCCACAUUGGGACUGAGACACGGCCCAGACUCCUACGGGAGGCAGCAGUGGGGGAUAUUGCGCAAUGGGGGCAACCCUGACGCAGCAACGCCGCGUGAAGGAUGAAGGUUUUCGGAUUGUAAACUUCUUUUAUUAAGGACGAAAAAUGACGGUACUUAAUGAAUAAGCUCCGGCUAACUACGUGCCAGCAGCCGCGGUAAUACGUAGGGAGCAAGCGUUGUCCGGAUUUACUGGGUGUAAAGGGUGCGUAGGCGGCUUUGCAAGUCAGAUGUGAAAUCUAUGGGCUCAACCCAUAAACUGCAUUUGAAACUGUAGAGCUUGAGUGAAGUAGAGGCAGGCGGAAUUCCCCGUGUAGCGGUGAAAUGCGUAGAGAUGGGGAGGAACACCAGUGGCGAAGGCGGCCUGCUGGGCUUUAACUGACGCUGAGGCACGAAAGCGUGGGUAGCAAACAGGAUUAGAUACCCUGGUAGUCCACGCUGUAAACGAUGA